UUGCGGAUUGGUAAAAGAUCUAACUAUUUUAGCACAUAUUUCUGUAAAAAACAAAACA
RNAcentral lists this transfer RNA (58 nucleotides) under Hemiselmis rufescens. RNAcentral's name for it is "partial tRNA". Lineage: Eukaryota; Cryptophyceae; Cryptomonadales; Hemiselmidaceae. The record is from RNAcentral.